This 213-nucleotide long non-coding RNA is filed under the name Elaeis guineensis (African oil palm). Its description in RNAcentral is "long non-coding RNA (EGUI_LNC064656)". Lineage: Eukaryota; Viridiplantae; Streptophyta; Magnoliopsida; Arecales; Arecaceae. The record is from RNAcentral.
CUUGUGGCCCUUGCAGCAGUUCUGAUUAAGGAAGAAGCAAAAAAUCAAUGGCCGGUCUACUACAUAAGCCGAGUACUAAGAGAUGCCGAAACCAGGUAUAGAGAAACUAACUUAUGCCUUGUUGGUUGCAGCUCGGAGGCUCUGACCUUACUUUCAAGGACACACCAUAAUACUACUCACCGACCAGUCGAUCAAGGCGGUUCUGCAUCGAGC